CUUUCUUAGUUUUGCUCUCUAUCAAUAACAUAGUUUAAUUGUCAAUGUCACAGACUGGGGGAGGGGCUGGUAGCUCCUGGAAUCACCAAGUAGCAGAACUGAAGUUACUGUGAGAACAUCUAAAUGCAAAGUGCUAGUGCUAAAAGAAAAUUUUAGGCUUUAUUAAAAUUGGCUAAUUCUUCCAAAGGCAGCAGCUAAAGGACAUGUGAGGCAGGGAUGGGAGGGGAGGAGGUUUGCCUGCCACAGGACGGUGACACCCUUUCCUCCUGUCUCUUCUCUGCUCAGCCCUUGCUCAAGUCCCUCUGCGCUUAGAUUGCAGAUAGCAAUCAACUGGAAGGAAGUAUGUGUGUCUAAUUUGCAUGAGAUUAUUUAAAACAAAAAAAAAAAAGGUCUGCAUUAGUCAGGGUGAUGGUAAACAACGCAAAGAGCUGCCUUUUAUAAUAUAGCCUGUGCCUCAGCUUUCAGAGCCAAAUAUAAUUCACUUACAAUUGGCAGUUUCCUUUAUUAUUCCUUUUAACCUUUUGGAUUCUGCAAGGUCUCAAUCUAAGUUCUCCACUGUUUAUCUCAGUGGGGGUGGGUGGGAACCUGGCUGUCUUAUGUGUGGGCCCUAAGGCAGUACCCCAUCCCUAAAGGCAGGGUCCGUUCAGCGCCAGGGGCUGGUGAUGGGGUAGAUAACCUGCUAUGUUCUGAGAGGAAUGACACUCCACCCCACCUCAGGUUCUGUGAGUCCCAGGUGAACCACUUGAGUCUUGUAGAGUCAAUCUUCCCGAAGCUGGGGACACUCCAGAGGAAAAGGCCACUAAGGGAAGCGUAGGCACCAGUCUGUGAGAGGCCUUUGGAUUUAUUUGAUUAGAAUAUUAGAAGGAGAUGAGGUCGCUCUACCCUUGUCACUCUGAUAGUGUUCAAAAAGUUGUCCAGGUGUCAUUUGCAAAUAGGACCCAGGUGUUAGGUUCCUGUGUUAUUUUGGAAUAGCCCCAAAGCAGCAUUCACUGGCUCUUACCUAUGGAUGGGGUGCCGGUGCGGGGGGUGGCUGGGGGAAGACAAGUUAGUCCUCAUAUUUUCUUUAACAAGAUUGAAGACUUUAGGCAUCAAUUUGAUGUGUUGUAACUCUGUGCUGUAGUGGGAAGUCACCAGGCUGGGGUUUCAUCUGGCAUCACCAGGCUUUUACUAGUAUGAUUUGAGGCAUAGUUUUCACCCUCCUUAGCCCUCAGUUUUUUGGUUUUUGUUUUUUAAUCUGUUAAAUAAGGGCAAUGGCUAGGAUAAUGGCCCGGCUCUGAAAUUAUCUUAUUCAGUGAGAUCGUUAAAAUGCUUAUUUUUUUAAAAAAGAAGAAGAGUGAUUCAUUUUCUAUAACUAAAUCAAAAUCCUGACUCUCCAGAGAACUAGGGAUAUCAGAAUUCCAGCCAAUGUAAAUUUAGAGCAUCAAAUGAUAAGGUCUGUAUAAAACAAGAGCUUGGAAGGAAGUGCUGAUGCCCUUUAAACCGGGGCUUCACUAGUGGGCUUGGCUGCAAUAAUGCAAGGAACGUGUUUUAUUAAGAAAAUAGGCUUCGUAAAAGCUCAGGGCCAGAGGGCAGGACAGUGGUCAGGGAGUCCUGUCCCUUUAACCAGCUCCAGCUCUCAGGGCUGCAGCACAGCCUGUAACUUGCCGUGUAUUUCCCCAGCGUUAAACAUUAUCGUACUUGUUUAUAUUUGAAAGAGCCAAAAGGGAAAAUGAGAAUGCAACCGAAUGCUCCUUUUGGGAAAAUUAUCCUCAUUUGCAGCCAGUGGCUGACAAGGCACACGAACCACCAGGUUUAUGAAGUCCCAUUGUGUACCAGUGACCAGCAGCUCGUGCUGACGCCGCAUGUGCCACUGUCUUCUUUCGUGGCUGAUUAUGACUGGUUAAAACCAUGUCUUUCCUACUAGAACUCUGAAAGGGGUUCCCCUUUCUACCGAGGAGUGACUGGCGGUCAGUACCCGGGCUGGAGCCUGGGAGGCACUCGCUCAGCGAAGCGUGUUCUCUGUGUUUGCCCGGCUCGUCUGUCUGUCCUGCCCCUGUCCUUGGGAGGUGACAUCACAGUAAAGCGGUCCUUUUGCAGCAAGCUGGGGGCUUAGGGAGGAGGAACGUCCCCUGGCUAGCCCCACGUAUUCAAAUUCAGCUCUUGUUUUUGAAGGUGCCAAGCGCCAGUAAAUGAUCCUCUUUGCCCCCUGCCAGCCUCUCCUCUGCCCCGUCAGUCUGUUGAGAGGAUGGUGCGCUUGCUCGGGCGACCCAGCAGCACUGAGACUCCACGGAGGUGUGGCCUUGCCCACCACUGGCGGGCUCUGUCCUGUGCUGAGGGCAAAGAGGGAAAGGGAUGCAGUGUUAAGUGGGGGAGGGACCUUGAGUGCUCGGUGCAGAGAGGAGAAGAGAGGGUCCAGGGCCAUUUAGAAUAGUUCAGGAAUUCUCCCUUGACCACUUGUGGUGGGGCAUGAAGAGUUUGAGGGGCGGCUGCAGCCAACUCACAUGCCAGCGUGGUGUGGGGCAGUGCUGUGCUUAGAGCAUUAAUGGGCUCCGCCGGCUAGCCCCUUGGCACAGAGCUCGAGGCACCAUGCUUCGGGAGAUGCUGACCCUCGGAGCCUCCUUGUACUUCACUACCCCCCAGGGACAGAUAGACCAUGCUGCGGGCCUCUAAUGGAGAGCUGCCGGCCCGAUGUGGAAGAGCUCUUGGCUCUAGUUUAAAAGUUCUGUGUUGUGGCUGGACUGGAUGUCGGGAUUCCCAGAACAGCUCAGGCCGGCCAGAGUGCUCUUUUGCAGAGACUAGCAGUGACCUCCCACCUGCUUCUCCCAGUCGCAGCGCCUGGAGCACUUUUGUGCACACGGUUGCUUCCCCUGCGACACAGAGCUGCCCUGUGGGGAAGUCUCUCUCACACCUGCGCGCCAGUCCUCGUGCAGAUGCUUUGGAUUGGUCAGUGCCCUCAUCCUCUUCCCCAAGAGCUGGCGUCCCUGGUCUGCCUCCGACCUGUUGAAAUAUUCCAGCUGUGCGCCCACUGGAAAUGUCAUCUUCCUGGGUUUUUCACUUGCCUUUUAUUCCUUCUUGGGCGAAGCCUCUCCGCAUGUCAUAGCCACUGCAGAUGGCGCCCUGCAAUUUCCUGAUGUCCCAAGUGCACUGUGGUUUAGACUGUUGGGAGGAUUUUUUUAAAAAAAGGAAAAAGAAAAACUAGCCAAAGGCGAUAUAGGCAGCCUAUGAUAGUCUAGAGUAAUAAUCAUCUGAAAGUUUGGGCCUGGCCUUGUUUUGAUCUAUUUUCUUGUUUUAUUUUCUUCUUUACAGUCUAUAUCCCAUUCAUACUAAUCACAGUCAGUCCUGAUUUUUCUUUUUAUUUCUGCAUUUGUCAUAAAAUAAAGCAAAUUAUUCCCGUCUUCAGAAACGAUCUAGACUAAUUAGUCGUCUCACCCAAUAAUUAGUUUUUUGUUUCCCUGUCUGUUUUCAUGCAUUAUUGUUAGUUUUUUCCCCUCUUUUUUUUUUUUAACACCAUUACAGAUUAAAAUGAGCCACAUUUGCAGUUGAUGGUAUCUGUUUUCGGGGAAGAAUGGAGAAUUGCAGUACAGAGAGACUUCAAAAGCAGCAAUAAACUCAAGGAUAAAUUAAGGAAAUUGAAUGAGCCACAUUUGGAAGCAGUGUUGAGGCUAAUAUUCUGUCGCUUAAGGUUAAAUUGCAGCUGAGAGAGGUUCCAGAGAAUCCGAAAUCGGGGAAGCAACUUACCAGGAUGCUAGGCGUCCUGUGACUCUAAGGUCUUUUCUCAAAUGAUUUCAUUGCAGCCAUGGACAUUGGCAAAAGGUACUCACCAGCAAUUAUGUCCUCUUAUCCCCCAGGGCUGACGGAUGAAGAGAUUGCCUUGGCUUUCCAGCAGUCGGGCACGGCUGCCGAUGAGCCUGCGUCCUUGGGCCCAGCCACACAGGUGGUUCCUGUCCAGCCCCCUCACGUCAUUUCGCAGCCAUAUAGUCUCUGAGGGAGCAUUGAUUACUGAACGCCUGCUGUGUGCCAGGCACUGUGCCGGACCCCUGGGAUGGGACGAUUAAGGCCUGGCUGGUCUCUGUCUCCAGCCCUCCUGUCCAGUAGGAAAGACAGUUAAGGGAACACAGCAGUGCUAUGAGGUCAGCCCAGGAUGGUGGCACAGACAAGGUGAAGGGGCGCCUCAGAGAGCGGGAGAUGCCUAACUGGACCUGGGGCAUGAUUGGUACAGUGACCAGACAGGAUGGACCGGAGCAUCCAAGCUAAAGCAAAGCCACGUGGACGUGAAACCAUGUGAUGGUCAGAGCGGCUGCAACAUGGGAUAGGAGUGUCAGAAGACACGACCUGAGGGAGGUGGCUGCCACGUCAUCACCCUGACGGAGGACAGUCAAAAUCACAUGGCUUUUUUACUUUGAAAUGCAUUGUGUAAUUAUUUUUGAGGCUGUAUUACCUAUUUGACUGUAUUAUUCUUAGACUAAUAUUAAAAUUAUUUGUACCAUUGGAGCAGAUGCUGCGUGGGGAAUUAGAGAAGACAUGCUGGGUGUGUGCUGGAUGCGACAGGGGUCCAGAUGCUCUUCCCGUAACUCCCUUUCAAAUGCCUCCAUUCCAACUGGGAUGGAGGUUCCCCUUGCCUUGAUCAGCCCCCUGCUCGCCAUCACACUACACUGAAAUAUUUACUCACUUCCUAUUAAACUGUGAGUUUCUUGAGCUCAGAGGCUUUUUUAAAAAUCUAUGGCCCAAGGUUCUGACUUAGCAGGUUUUCCAGAAACACUUGUUGAAUGAAUAAAUGAUGGUGGACGUGUGCUUGAGAAUUGCAAGGCUGCCGAGUAAUACCAUCAACUCUUGGGGUUGAUGCCCAGGUAGCCAGGCAGUGAGGCCUCCUGUGUGCUCUGUGUGGAGCAGGCCGCAGAAGUAGAGGACAGGCCUUGCCUCAGGAAGCCCCAGUGUAAUGUAGAGGGAAGCCCCGUGCUUGGGCAGGACAGCAAAAGCUAACCCAUGCCAUCUUGUAUGGUGUGAAUGGUGAGAGCUUUCGGGAGUUAAGAACAAAGGAACCCCCAGGGUGCUGAUCUCAGGCCAGACCUUCUGGAGGAAGCAGGUCCAUGGAGACACCUAGAAGCUGGGGGUGGGGAGGGUGUAAGUGACUCUGGAGGUGAGUGUGAAUGGAGGUGGCACUGUGAACAGCCUCUCUGUUCCCACCAAGAACUGAACGGGGAAGAAUCUCUCCCGUUUCUCUCUCUCUCUCUCUCUCUCUCUCUCUCUCUCU
This is an RNA transcript of Physeter macrocephalus (sperm whale), 5230 nucleotides long. It is a transcript of the gene named peroxisomal biogenesis factor 14, with no coding region annotated. The transcript is spliced from 2 exons. The record is from RefSeq and is a predicted model, not a curated record. Lineage: Eukaryota; Metazoa; Chordata; Mammalia; Artiodactyla; Physeteridae.